RNAcentral lists this ribosomal RNA (256 nucleotides) under uncultured bacterium. RNAcentral describes it as "partial 16S ribosomal RNA". It matches the Rfam family "Bacterial small subunit ribosomal RNA", at positions 522 to 776 of the family's 1533-position model. The record is from RNAcentral.
GACAGGAGGGUGCAAACGUUUGUUCGGAAUUACUGGGCGUAAAGCGAGUGUAGGCGGUCCGAUAAGUCGGGUGUGAAAGCCCUGGGCUCAACCCAGGAAGUGCACUCGAAACUGCCGGGCUAGAGUAUCGGAGAGGUUGGUGGAAUUCUCGGUGUAGAGGUGAAAUUCGUAGAUAUCGAGAGGAACACCGGUGGCGAAGGCGGCCAACUGGACGAAUACUGACGGCUGAGACUCGAAAGCGUGGGGAGCGAACAGG